GAUGAACGCUGGCGGCGUGCCUAAUACAUGCAAGUCGAGCGGCAGCACGGUCUUCGGACUGGUGGCGAGCGGCGGACGGCUGAGUAACGCGUAGGAAUAUACCCAAAGUGAGGGAUAACUGCCCGAAAGGGUGGCUAAUACCGCAUGUGGUCUUCGGACUAAAGCCUUCGGGCGCUUUGGGAAUAGCCUGCGUAAGAUUAGCUAGUUGGUGAGGUAAUGGCCCACCAAGGCGACGAUCUUUAGCUGGUCUGAGAGGAUGACCAGCCAGACUGGAACUGAGACACGGUCCAGACUCCUACGGGAGGCAGCAGUAGGGAAUUUUCCACAAUGGGCGAAAGCCUGAUGGAGCAACGCCGCGUGCAGGAUGAAGGCCCUCGGGUCGUAAACUGCUUUUAUGUGCGAAGAAUAUGACGGUAACACAUGAAUAAGGGUCGGCUAACUACGUGCCAGCAGCCGCGGUAAU
RNAcentral lists this ribosomal RNA (463 nucleotides) under uncultured bacterium. Its description in RNAcentral is "bacterial SSU rRNA". It matches the Rfam family "Bacterial small subunit ribosomal RNA", at positions 28 to 524 of the family's 1533-position model. The record is from RNAcentral.